Molecule: ribosomal RNA, 301 nt
Filed under: uncultured bacterium
Lineage: Bacteria
Description: partial 16S ribosomal RNA
Rfam family: Bacterial small subunit ribosomal RNA
Source: RNAcentral
CAGCAGCCGCGGUAAUACAUAGGGUGCGAGCGUUAAUCGGAAUUACUGGGCGUAAAGCGUGCGUAGGCGGUGAGUUAAGUCUGCUGUGAAAUCCCCGGGCUCAACCUGGGAAUGGCAGUGGAUACUGGCUCGCUAGAGUGUGUCAGAGGAUGGUGGAAUUCCCGGUGUAGCGGUGAAAUGCGUAGAGAUCGGGAGGAACAUCAGUGGCGAAGGCGACUAUCUGGGCCAACACUGACACUGAGGCACGAAAGCGUGGGGAGCAAACAGGAUUAGAUACCCCUGUAGUCCCUGUCUCUUAUAA